This is a long non-coding RNA of Oreochromis aureus, 615 nucleotides long. NCBI's taxonomy places the organism in Eukaryota, Metazoa, Chordata, Actinopteri, Cichliformes, Cichlidae. The record is from Ensembl.
CACACACACACAGUCACCGAGGUCAACGCCGGUCUCUCUUUGGAGCUGUUUGUUACUUUUCCCUCGAGCAGUUGCACCAGCCAGCUGCUGGGGACACGCAGAGUGUCCGAGUACAUCUUUGACAGGUCGGGCAGUUUCAGUUCUACAAUUCAGUUUUUUGGGACUUACAUCCGGUUCCAGUUCAAGAGUAAACGAGCGCAGAUUAAUAGAACUACGUUUUACUAGCGGACCGAAAGUGUUACUGACGGGAAUCUACAGCGUCUGGAGCUGAAUUAAGACUUCAGAAGUCAUUCGUCAUGUCGAAUGACCAGCGGAUAAACUCUCAGGUGAAGAGCCUGAGGCCGGUGACAGUCCAGUUCUACUCCAAGUACAUCCUUACGGUGGCUCACAGGACAAGGCCACAUUCCUGUCCUGCCAGAAGAGAAACUUCAGAGUCUUCAUGCAGUUCAACCACACCUGUCAUAUUCCGUAUGACAGGGGUCUCAAACUCCAGUCCUCGAGGGCCGCUGUCAUGCAACUUUUCCAUGUGUCCCUGGUGCAACACACCUGAAUACAAUUAGUAGGUCAUUAGCAAGAGUAUAGAACUUGACUGCAUGCUGAGGUGGCAACCCCUAA